This 253-nucleotide ribosomal RNA is filed under the name uncultured prokaryote. Its description in RNAcentral is "partial 16S ribosomal RNA". It matches the Rfam family "Bacterial small subunit ribosomal RNA", at positions 524 to 776 of the family's 1533-position model. The record is from RNAcentral.
UACGUAGGCAGCGAGCGUUGUUCGGAGUUACUGGGCGUAAAGGGUGUGUAGGCGGUCCUCUAAGUUUGGUGUGAAAUCUCCCGGCUCAACCGGGAGGGUGCGCCGAAAACUGGGGGGCUAGAGUGCGGGAUGGGAGAGUGGAAUUCCUGGUGUAGCGGUGAAAUGCGUAGAUAUCAGGAGGAACACCGGUGGUGUAGACGGCUCUCUGGACCGUAACUGACGCUGAGACACGAAAGCGUGGGUAGCAAACAGG